RNAcentral lists this RNase P RNA (392 nucleotides) under Vibrio gazogenes. RNAcentral's name for it is "RNase P RNA component class A". It matches the Rfam family "Bacterial RNase P class A". Rfam says of the family: Ribonuclease P (RNase P) is a ubiquitous endoribonuclease, found in archaea, bacteria and eukarya as well as chloroplasts and mitochondria. Its best characterised activity is the generation of mature 5'-ends of tRNAs by cleaving the 5'-leader elements of precursor-tRNAs. The record is from RNAcentral. RNAcentral also lists the same sequence under 1 other name. Lineage: Bacteria; Pseudomonadati; Pseudomonadota; Gammaproteobacteria; Vibrionales; Vibrionaceae.
GGAGUUGACUGGGUAGUCGCUGCUUUAUUGAUGUCCCUUAGUUUUGCUGGGGGAGACUGAUAAAGGGGAGGAAAGUCCGGGCUCCAUAGAGCAGGGUGCCAGGUAACGCCUGGGGGGCGUAAGCCCACGACAAGUGCAGCAGAGAGAAGACCGCCGAUGACCCUUGGGUCAGGUAAGGGUGAAAGGGUGCGGUAAGAGCGCACCGUGCGUCUGGUAACAGUUCGUAGCAAGGUAAACUCCACCCGGAGCAAGACCAAAUAGGCUCUCAUAUGGCGUGGCUCGCGUCUGGGAGCGGGUAGGUUGCUUGAGCCAGUGAGCGAUUGCUGGCCUAGAGGAAUGGCUACUACCGUUGCAAAACGGAACAGAACCCGGCUUAUAGGUUAACUCCGGCU